UACGUAGGCAGCAAGCGUUGUUCGGAGUUACUGGGCGUAAAGGGUGCGUAGGCGGUCCUAUAAGUAUGGUGUGAAAUCUCCCGGCUUAACUGGGAGGGUGCGCUAUAGACUGUGGGACUAGAGUGUGGGAGAGGAAAGUGGAAUUCCUGGUGUAGCGGUGAAAUGCGUAGAUAUCAGGAGGAACACCGGUGGUGUAGACGGCUUACUGGACGGUAACUGACGCUGAGGCACGAAAGCGUGGGUAGCAAACAGG
This 253-nucleotide ribosomal RNA is filed under the name uncultured bacterium. RNAcentral describes it as "partial 16S ribosomal RNA". It matches the Rfam family "Bacterial small subunit ribosomal RNA", at positions 524 to 776 of the family's 1533-position model. The record is from RNAcentral.